GUUGGCAUCUGGCUCAUUUGAGAGCUGUGAAAGUGAGUUUUGUAUAAUACUGAUGCAUCCUGUUUUCAGGCGGUCCUUUGUGGAGGUAUUUUCCAUUCCCUUAAAACUUUAAGAUCACCUGUGGGGAGAGGGGAGCUGCCGACAGUGGAAUGUGGCACAGAGGAGUCUUGCUUGACAAGCUGCGGGACAGGAGGCCGAAGGCAAGGUGCAAGGAUGGUGAAAUUGAGGUCGAAGGAACAUAAAGUGACUUGCUCAGGGUCACUUAGCUAGUAUGUGAUGGUGAUGCAAUUUGAGCUCGAGAGCCAGACGUCUUAUGCACACGGAUUACAGCCCUCUGUCCUCUGCUGGUCAGUCCCUGGGGACACAGGUUGCUUGGGAGCCCCGGUGUGGCUGUUUCAUGGCCAGGCGGGAUGGGCUGCUAGAGGCAUACUGACAGCAGUGACUGCUCAAGCCAGUGGAGGCUCAGUAUUCGCUGCUUCUUCCUGGAAUUUUGCAUACUGGUGGUCAUCUGGAAGGCUGACUGCUCAAGCACGAAAAAGGCAAAGAAAUUGUCUGGAGACCCCAGGCAAUAAAAUGAAUGAGAGGGAAAAGAGACUGCUAUGUGAUUUGGCUUAAAAAUUAGAAAUACCAAUUAUAUAUCUGAAGAGCGGUUAAUAUACAAAAUAUAUAAAGAACUCCUCUAACUCAAGACUGAAAAAACAAACAAUCCAAUUAAAAAAUGGGCAAAGGA
Molecule: long non-coding RNA, 730 nt
Organism: Equus quagga
Lineage: Eukaryota; Metazoa; Chordata; Mammalia; Perissodactyla; Equidae
Exons: 3
Source: RefSeq, a predicted model, not a curated record